AGGAGCAGUGUGACUCAGAGAAGGU
This 25-nucleotide non-coding RNA is filed under the name Cricetulus griseus (Chinese hamster). The record is from RNAcentral. Lineage: Eukaryota; Metazoa; Chordata; Mammalia; Rodentia; Cricetidae.